UUUGUACUCCCUCCGUCCGAAAAAAACUUGUCAUCAAAAUGGACAAAAAAGGAUGUAUCUAGAACUAAAAUACAUCUAGAUACAUCCCCUUUUAUUCAUUUUGAUGACAAGUAUUUCCGGACGGAGGGAGUAUUGA
Non-coding RNA from Triticum aestivum (bread wheat), 136 nucleotides. The record is from Rfam. Lineage: Eukaryota; Viridiplantae; Streptophyta; Magnoliopsida; Poales; Poaceae.